GCAGUCGAGCGACUUACUAAAUGAAUGCGGUGCUUGCACCAAGUGAUUUUAGAGCGGUGAGCGGCGGAUGGGUGAGUAACACGUGGGUAACCUGCCUCUAAGCAGGGGAUAACAUUUGGAAACAGAUGCUAAUACCGUAUAAAUCCUAAAACCACAUGGUUUUAGGCUGAAAGGCGGCUUCGGCUGUCACUUAGAGAUGGACCCGCGGCGUAUUAGCUAGUUGGUGAGGUAAUGGCUCACCAAGGCAAUGAUACGUAGCCGAACUGAGAGGUUGAUCGGCCACAUUGGGACUGAGACACGGCCCAAACUCCUACGGGAGGCAGCAGUAGGGAAUCUUCCACAAUGGACGCAAGUCUGAUGGAGCAACGCCGCGUGAGUGAAGAAGGCUUUCGGGUCGUAAAACUCUGUUGUUGAAGAAGAACACGUUUGAGAGUAACUGUUCAGACGUUGACGGUAUUCAACCAGAAAGCCACGGCUAACUACGUGCCAGCAGCCGCGGUAAUACGUAGGUGGCAAGCGUUAUCCGGAUUUAUUGGGCGUAAAGCGAGCGCAGGCGGUUUUUUAAGUCUGAUGUGAAAGCCCUCGGCUUAACCGAGGAAGUGCAUCGGAAACUGGGAAACUUGAAUGCUGAAGAGGACAGUGGAACUCCAUGUGUAGCGGUGAAAUGCGUAGAUAUAUGGAAGAACACCAGUGGCGAAGGCGGCUGUCUGGUCAGUUAUUGACGCUGAGGCUCGAAAGCAUGGGUAGCGAACAGGAUUAGAUACCCUGGUAGUCCAUGCCGUAAACGAUGAAUACUAGGUGUUGGAGGGUUUCCGCCCUUCAGUGCCGCAGCUAACGCAUUAAGUAUUCCGCCUGGGGAGUACGACCGCAAGGUUGAAACUCAAAGGAAUUGACGGGGGCCCGCACAAGCGGUGGAGCAUGUGGUUUAAUUCGAAGCAACGCGAAGAACCUUACCAGGUCUUGACAUCUUCUGCUAUUUCUAGAGAUAGAAAGUUCCCUUUCGGGGACGGAAUGACAGGUGGGUGCAUGGGUUGUCGUCAGCCUCGUGUCGUGAAGAUGUUGGGUUAAGUCCCGCAACGAGCGCAACCCUUAUGACUAGUUGCCAGCAUUAAGUUGGGCACUCUAGUAAGACUGCCGGUGACAAACCGGAGGAAGGUGGGGACGACGUCAAAUCAUCAUGCCCCUUAUGACCUGGGCUACACACGUGCUACAAUGGUUGGUACAACGAGUUGCGAACUCGCGAGGGUAAGCUAAUCUCUUAAAGCCAAUCUCAGUUCGGACUGUAGGCUGCAACUCGCCUACACGAAGUCGGAAUCGCUAGUAAUCGCGGAUCAGCAUGCCGCGGUGAAUACGUUCCCGGGCCUUGUACACACCGCCCGUCACACCAUGAGAGUUUGUAACACCCAAAGCCGGUGGGGCACCCUCGGGAGCAGCC
This 1435-nucleotide ribosomal RNA is filed under the name unidentified. Its description in RNAcentral is "bacterial SSU rRNA". It matches the Rfam family "Bacterial small subunit ribosomal RNA". The record is from RNAcentral.